AUAGUGCACAAGAUAAUAAAUUCAAAAUUAAACAGAUUGAGUAAAAAGGAAGUUUAAAUAUUAGACCUCUCUUUAGGAAGGCAGUGUAAGUCACAUCAAGGAAGGUGUGACUAGGGCUGUAUAACCAAAGUGAUUUCACUCCUAAGUGCCAGAAAAUUGGUCAGUAAAACAGCAGAGGCAUAACCUAUUCACCUAAACUGCUUUGUUAAGUUAAAGUUGUUUUGGUACUUGUAGUAUCUCUUUAAGCUCCAUCGUUUGUUAAGAAUGUUAACC
This is a non-coding RNA of Pelobates cultripes (western spadefoot toad), 273 nucleotides long. The record is from the annotation of a GenBank genome assembly. NCBI's taxonomy places the organism in Eukaryota, Metazoa, Chordata, Amphibia, Anura, Pelobatidae.